RNAcentral lists this ribosomal RNA (426 nucleotides) under Pseudoramibacter alactolyticus. RNAcentral describes it as "bacterial SSU rRNA". It matches the Rfam family "Bacterial small subunit ribosomal RNA", at positions 28 to 425 of the family's 1533-position model. The record is from RNAcentral. Lineage: Bacteria; Bacillati; Bacillota; Clostridia; Eubacteriales; Eubacteriaceae.
GACGAACGCUGGCGGUAUGCUUAACACAUGCAAGUCGAACGAGAAGUCUUUUAUUGAACCUUCGGGGGAUAUAAGAGACAGACAGUGGCGAACGGGUGAGUAACGCGUGGGCAACCUACCUAUCGGAGCGGGAUAGCCUCGAGAAAUCGGGAGUAAAACCGCAUGACACGGAUAUAUCGCAUGAUGAAUCCGUCAAAACUCCGGUGCUGAUAGAUGGGCCCGCGUCUGAUUAGCUAGUUGGUAAGGUAAGGGCUUACCAAGGCAACGAUCAGUAGCCGGUCUGAGAGGGCGAACGGCCACACUGGAACUGAGACACGGUCCAGACUCCUACGGGAGGGCAGCAGUGGGGAAUAUUGCGCAAAUGGGGGCAAACCCCUGACGCAAGCCAAUUACCGCGUGAAGUGAAAGAAAGGUUUUUCGGAUUCG